RNAcentral lists this long non-coding RNA (669 nucleotides) under Numida meleagris (helmeted guineafowl). Its description in RNAcentral is "lncRNA (ENSNMEG00000008867.1)". The record is from RNAcentral. Lineage: Eukaryota; Metazoa; Chordata; Aves; Galliformes; Numididae.
AUGAAUGCCAGAUCAUUGCAAAAACAUGAACAAGAAGGAGGGAAACUGCAGAAGCUGAGUACCCUGGUGUUAGUAUUGGGGCUGUGGCUUUGCAGGUUCUGGUUGGCAGCGCUCAUUUCUGCAGAGCUACUGUGGGAUCCUGCUGCCCACAGAACCAGAGGGAAAGUUUCUCUCGCAGACUAUGUGUCAGUACGUGAAAGUCCACGUGUCCGUAUCUGGCUCAUUCCAGCUGUGAUGCCUCAAAGCUGCCUUUUCUGCCUAUUGAAGUGUUAAUAGUUUCAUGCUAAGUAUGCUAAAGAGGUUCCUUAGAUCCUCAUUUACAUAUGUUUUAUAUUACCCAUGUUUUUGCUUUUCAUGGUUUAUUGUUCCCUCCCACAACUUGCCACUAUCCCCUUCAUUAAUCCAUCUAAUUGAAACCUGACAUUUUCUGAUUUAUUGUUCCAAGUCCUCUUAAAAUCACCAGUCAGAAGAAGUUGUACCCCUGUGUAGUUAAAAGAAGACAUUCAACAGCAAAUUUUGUCUUUCCUGUGCAUAAAGAUUUCUUUUUUCAUCUGCCCUCAGUAAGAGAUUGAAAGAUAACCCUGCAAAGCAUGAAUUUCCAUUAAAUCAGCCAGCUGAGAGAGCAGGCAGGCUGAAUUUUUCAUUUGAAUUUGUUUUGUUUUGUGCUUG